GCAGGAGGUGAUUCAGGAGCACCUCAAGGAGUGGAAGGGAGAGGUCGUGCAGGACAGGCCAACAAGAGCAUUAGAGCAACGAGGAUAAAAUAUUUGAUCAGCCCUAUAUCUUCUUCUCGAUGCAGCCCCGCAUAGGUAUCCUGGGGUGAUUCAAGAUGCUCAGGUGUAUCACACUGCAUGGUACACAGGUCAGUUUUGCAGGCUGCUCUGAGAUACACUGAUUUAGAUACAACCACAUGUCUGCAGCAAUUUCUUACUCUCGGUAUAAAGACCAGCUCAUGGUGUGGGAAGCAUCUCAUAUGGUUCACCGAAUCAAUUGAUGAAUCUGAAGCGAUUCAAGAGGAGGAGCAAAAAUUGUUUAUGCCUAUAG
This is a long non-coding RNA of Triticum dicoccoides, 370 nucleotides long. RefSeq lists it as uncharacterized. The transcript is spliced from 4 exons. NCBI's taxonomy places the organism in Eukaryota, Viridiplantae, Streptophyta, Magnoliopsida, Poales, Poaceae. The record is from RefSeq and is a predicted model, not a curated record.